UUCUCCAUGAGGUUUUGAAAGCUUAGAGGAUGAGAUGGAAAACCAAAGUGAGGCUGAUGAAACAAGUGAGAGCAUGUACAUAUGUGUGUGUAUAUAUAUGUAAGUUGAAUUUAUUUUAUUUGCCUUUUGAGACAAUGAGGAAAGCUCAGCUGUCAAGAAACAGGGAUGCUAAUCCUCAUUCAGUCAUUACUAACAAACUGAGAAUAGAGCAGCUUGAUAUACUAUGAAGAGGAAAAGCACCCUUCUGCUCCAGGACUGCUAACUCUGAAGUACACUACUGACCUUUA
RNAcentral lists this long non-coding RNA (287 nucleotides) under Monodelphis domestica (gray short-tailed opossum). Its description in RNAcentral is "lncRNA (ENSMODG00000042288.1)". Lineage: Eukaryota; Metazoa; Chordata; Mammalia; Didelphimorphia; Didelphidae. The record is from RNAcentral.